AUGAACGCUGGCGGCGUGCUUAACCCCUGCAAGUCGAACGGAAAGGCUCCUGCUUGCAGGGGUACUCGCGUGGCGAACGGGUGAGUAACACGUGGGUGAUCUGCCCUGCACUUCGGGAUAAGCCUGGGAAACUGGGUCUAAUACCGGAUAGGACCACAUUUUGGAUGGUGUGGUGGAAAGUUUUUCGGUGUGGGAUGAGCUCGCGGCCUAUCAGCUUGUUGGUGGGGUAAUGGCCUACCAAGGCGUCGACGGGUAGCCGGCCUGAGAGGGUGUACGGCCACAUUGGGACUGAGAUACGGCCCAGACUCCUACGGGAGGCAGCAGUGGGGAAUAUUGCACAAUGGGCGCAAGCCUGAUGCAGCGACGCCGCGUGGGGGAUGACGGCCUUCGGGUUGUAAACUCCUUUCGCUAGGGACGAAGCGUUUUUGUGACGGUACCUGGAGAAGAAGCACCGGCUAACUACGUG
RNAcentral lists this ribosomal RNA (466 nucleotides) under uncultured bacterium. RNAcentral's name for it is "partial 16S ribosomal RNA". It matches the Rfam family "Bacterial small subunit ribosomal RNA", at positions 29 to 507 of the family's 1533-position model. The record is from RNAcentral.